Molecule: long non-coding RNA, 3015 nt
Organism: Homo sapiens (human)
Lineage: Eukaryota; Metazoa; Chordata; Mammalia; Primates; Hominidae
Source: Ensembl
AGAAACAACAGGAACCACCACCAAACGAAACAUAAACCCUUUGUAGGAAAUAUAUAUAGUUUAAAUUUUUACCUUUUUUAAGGUUUAUAGCUGGGCCCAAAGUUUCUAAAAGGUCUAUUCAGCCUCUGUGAGAAGCAACUGGGGUUAUUUUCGGAGAUGUAACCCAUGGGUAUUGAUAUACACCACGGCAUUCCUUGGUAGCCAAGCAUAGGGCUAAGAUGAGAACUAUUUGGCUACUUCUUAAUAUUUAAGUGGAUGAGCAGCAAACAUCUUUCUCCGUCUUCCUGAGCUCCAUUCUGCAAUUGCAGUGCAGCAGGACGACAGUGCAUUUACUGUGGCAUGCUGUUGGCCCCAUGCACUUCCCCCUUUCCCCCAUAGAUCUCGGCAGUGCCUUCUGCUUUGGUCCUGACAGGUAUAUUCUGCUUUGUCAGAAUCUCUUAUGUGAUCUUGGACAAGGGUUCUGCAGGAUAUACACGAAGUAUGGCACCAACAUCUGCUUCUGGUGAAGGCUUCAUGAAGCUUCCACCCAUGACAGAAGGCGAAGAACUGUUGCCAGCAUCAUGCUACAAGCCUGAAGGGAAGGUCUACUGACAGAGAAGGACAGAGACCAGGGAAACACAGAAAAGGAGAGACAAAGCCUUGACAUACCAAACCAGUGCCUGGCCUACCUAUGGACUUCUCAGUGUACGUAUUUAUGGAGUACAUGAGAUGUUCAGAUACAGGCAUGCAAUGCAUAGUAAUCACAUCCAGGUAUGAUGAUUAAUACUGAGUGUCAACUUGAUUGGAUUGAAGGAUGCAAAGUAUUGAUCCUGGGUGUGUCUGUAACAGUGUUGCCAAAGGAGAUUAACAUUUGAGUCAGUGGGCUGGAGAAGAAAGACCCACUCUUAAUCUGGUGGGCACAAUCUAAUCAGCUGCCAGCACAGCUGGAAUACAAAGCAGGCAGAAAAAUGUGAAAAGGUGAGACUGGCCUAGCCUCCCAGCCUAUAUCUAUCUCCCGUGCUGGAUGCUUCCUGCCCUCAAACAUCAGACUCCAAGUUCUUCAGUUUUGAGACUCAGACUGGUUCUCCUUGCUCCUCAAGCUUGCAGACAGCCUAUUGUGGGACCUCGUGAUCAUAUUCCUUCAAUUAGAGUGCCUCUGAAAGACAGGGUGUAUUCCAGCUGGCAUUGGGACAACCUAAAGUUUAAACCUUUGGGUGAAAAAGUGCCAACUUGGGAGACAUAUUAUCAAGACUGAAUCAGAGAGUUGACAGCAUACCAGGAAGUGUCACUGUAUAGUUUGGAAGAUGGAAAUCAUACUACUUUUUUCCCAUGUAAGCACUCCAGGAAAUUAACCUCCAAAUACAACUGAGGAAUAGGCACCGUUAUGGCUUUUUUACAGAUCAAUAAACUGAUGAAAUACGGUGAAGCUAUGUAAGUAGACCAAAGAUGUACAAGAAGACACACAUUGAGCAGAAAAUAAAUUUAAGCCUGGCUUCUCAACUCUUUAUUUAACCAGAGACGGUUCUAUCUCAAACAUGAGGUUCUAUAUGAAAGCAGGAGGGAAUUAGGAAGUAAAAUCUGGUGAGCAUUUUUCCUGAAAUAUUACAGCUGUCAUUCUCAGGGCCCUCGUCCUGAGAUAGUGGCAGGUUAAGAUAUUAAAUUUUUAUUUCUCUGGGAACUCUUCAUGGACUAUUGCCAUAUCAAUGACAAUGCAGACAGAAGUGCAGGUGAUUUUAAAGAACAGACUGCUUGACGUACCCUGUGUCUAGUACAGCUACACCCUAGAGCAGUUAGCAGUGCUUAUCUGAAUUCUUUGUUAUUUGUCAAAAAGAUUAUUGUUUUCUGACACAAUCUUUCUUUUCUAAGAAAAAAAAAAAAGCAGUGGUACAUAUUCUAACUAUGCUUUAGAAUCCCAGCUUCUGUCCUAAAGAUAAAAAUUUCAAGAUGACUCCAAAAGGAAAAAAAGUGAUAUGGAUAUAAGUCAAGUGUUUUUAAGCUUUAAAACCAUGAUAUCCUAUUUCUCUUUCUCUAUUUUUUCUUUUAAUGCAUUAAGCAUAAUCUCAUACAACCAGGAAUGUAAACCGUGACCAGUUUACCAAGAAAGGCUAAACUCAAAAGAACAUAUAAUGAUAUGUUUGUCUUUCCUUUAUUGUCUUUGCAUUUAAUUUUCAUAUAUAUCCAUAUUUGUGCAGUGACUUUGAAUUUGUCUCCUGGAGGCAGAUGCUCAUGCAGGUUUAACUACUGAAAACUAUAGAUGGAAAUGUUGAUGACUAGGAGAGAAUACACUGGGCAAUGUGGACAGGGCCAGAAUAUUUUGCAUGAGCGGGAAGCAGGAUUCUGUCAUCAAAGGAAACCAGUGUGCACUGUUGUUUGGUGAGGAAACUAGCACAUAGAUAAGAAACUCUUUUGAUUACCUCCGCUAUAUAUCUAAAGGAUGUUAUUCCCAAUGGAUUGCUCUAAGGGCUUUUCACUGUAGUUUUAAUAAUGGCCAUGCCAACAUUGUAUCUUUUAAGAAUAUUGAAAGAGACCAAUUUGGGAGACUGUGACCAGUAUGAGUGUUCACUUCACCAAACUAUCUCUGCUAAACUCUGAGGAUCUGGAGGUUGGGGGAUGAAAUGCUCUGAAGAUGAUACUGGAGGCAAAUAUUUUCCUUGUUACUCUUCUUUUCUCUCAGCAAAGUGACUAUAAGGUGUUUUAGUCCAUUAAAUUAACUGAAUAGCCGGGGGCAGUGGCUCAUGCCUAUAAUCCCAGCACUUUGGGAGACAAAGGCAGGCGGAUCACCUAAGGUCAGGAGUUUGAGACCAGCCUGACCAACAUGGUGAAACCCUGUCUUUACUAAAAAUACAAAAUUAGCUGGGCGUGGUGGCGCAUGCCUGUAAUCCUAGCUACUCUGGAGGCUGAGGCAUGAGAAUCCGUGGAACCUGGCAGGCGGAGGUUGCAGUGAGCCAAGAUCGUGCCAUUGCACUCUGGCCUGGGCAACAAGAGUGAAACUCCACAUCAAAAAAUAAAUAAAUAAAUAAAUAAAUAAAUAAAUAA